RNAcentral lists this ribosomal RNA (494 nucleotides) under uncultured bacterium. Its description in RNAcentral is "bacterial SSU rRNA". It matches the Rfam family "Bacterial small subunit ribosomal RNA", at positions 1 to 499 of the family's 1533-position model. The record is from RNAcentral.
UUUUAGAGUUUGAUCCAUGGCUCAGGAUGAACGCUGGCGGCGUGCCUAACACAUGCAAGUCGAGCGAGAAGAUUUGGAUUGCGGCUUCGGCCAAGUGAAGAGUUGGAAAGCGGCGGACGGGUGAGUAACGCGUGGGCAACCUGCCCCAUACAGAGGGAUAGCCACUGGAAACGGUGAUUAAUACCUCAUAAGGUCAUAGUGUCGCAUGACACAGUGGUCAAAGAUUUAUCGGUAUGGGAUGGGCCCGCGUCUGAUUAGCUAGUUGGUGAGGUAAAAGCUCACCAAGGGGACGAUCAGUAGCCGACCUGAGAGGGUGAUCGGCCACACUGGAACUGAGACACGGUCCAGACUCCUACGGGAGGCAGCAGUGGGGAAUAUUGCACAAUGGGCGCAAGCCUGAUGCAGCAACGCCGUGUGAGUGAUGAAGGCCUUCGGGUCGUAAAACUCUGUCCUAAGGGAAGAAAAAAAUGACGGACCUAGGAGGAGCCCCGCAA